Molecule: ribosomal RNA, 916 nt
Filed under: uncultured bacterium
Lineage: Bacteria
Description: bacterial SSU rRNA
Rfam family: Bacterial small subunit ribosomal RNA
Source: RNAcentral
UUGUUGGUAAGGUAAAAGCUUACCAAGGCUUCGAUCAGUAGCUGGUCUGAGAGGACGACCAGCCACACUGGGACUGAGACACGGCCCAGACUCCUACGGGAGGCAGCAGUGGGGAAUUUUGGACAAUGGGGGCAACCCUGAUCCAGCCAUGCCGCGUGAGUGAAGAAGGCCUUCGGGUUGUAAAGCUCUUUCAGCCGGAACGAAACGGUUACGGUUAACACCCGUGACUACUGACGGUACCGGAAGAAGAAGCACCGGCUAACUACGUGCCAGCAGCCGCGGUAAUACGUAGGGUGCGAGCGUUAAUCGGAAUUACUGGGCGUAAAGCGUGCGCAGGUGGUUUUGUAAGUCAGAUGUGAAAGCCCCGGGCUCAACCUGGGAACUGCGUUUGAAACUACAAGACUAGAGUGUGGCAGAGGGGGGUGGAAUUCCGCGUGUAGCAGUGAAAUGCGUAGAGAUGUGGAGGAACACCGAUGGCGAAGGCAGCCCCCUGGGUCAACACUGACGCUCAGGCACGAAAGCAUGGGGAGCAAACAGGAUUAGAUACCCUGGUAGUCCAUGCCCUAAACGAUGUCAACUAGUUGUCGGGCCUUUACGGGCUUGGUAACGUAGCUAACGCGUGAAGUUGACCGCCUGGGGAGUACGAUCGCAAGAUUAAAACUCAAAUGAAUUGACGGGGACCCGCACAAGCGGUGGAUUAUGUGGAUUAAUUCGAUGCAACGCGAAAAACCUUACCUACCCUUGACAUGUAUCGAAGCCCGCAGAAAAGCGGGGGUGCCCGAAAGGGAACGAUAACACAGGUGCUGCAUGGCUGUCGUCAGCUCGUGUCGUGAGAUGUUGGGUUAAGUCCCGCAACGAGCGCAACCCUUGUCAUUAAUUGCCAUCAUUUAGUUGGGCACUUUAAUGAGACCGCCGG